Rhododendron vialii is the source of this 586-nucleotide long non-coding RNA. RefSeq lists it as uncharacterized. The transcript is spliced from 4 exons. The record is from RefSeq and is a predicted model, not a curated record. NCBI's taxonomy places the organism in Eukaryota, Viridiplantae, Streptophyta, Magnoliopsida, Ericales, Ericaceae.
UCUUAGGGUUUGCUCUUACAGUCUUACACUACUGUAUCAUCAUUUCCUAUAUUCUUGAUUUCUUCACCCCACGCUUUCUUUGCCCCCAUUCUCAGCUUUCCCCUUUCUUAAACGUUUUUGUCAUACAGGGGUUUUAGAGUGAGAUUCAUAAAGAGACAUAUAGAAAGAGAGUGAAGGGCGAUGCGGAUGUAAGGGUAGCUAGAGAGAUUCAUAAAGAGACAUAUAGAUAACCAGCGAAGACCAAAUCCCGAUCUAAUGGCUUUCGAUCCUCCUUUCAAUUGGGAAGACGACCCUCGAAAUAUUCUACUUGAUGUUUAUGAUCAAGGAGGUCCUGGUACGUGUGGUAUGCUUGUACCAUUGGAGUGUAUCAGUUCUAUGAAGGCGUUGAAGGAUGGUACGGCACCUGUGAGGCUGAGCACAGAGCAGCUCGUCCAAAAUGUGCACUUGAAAUUUCCUGGGUAUUGUUUUUUAGAAAUAAAGCUUAAUUAAUUGACGCAAUGAUAAACCCUCUUUUGCUCAUUAAUUACAUUCUACACUCUAGGGUUAGCCAAAAAUUUACAUGAGUGAUCAGAGCAAUUUUGAAACA